Molecule: non-coding RNA, 540 nt
Organism: Caenorhabditis remanei
Lineage: Eukaryota; Metazoa; Nematoda; Chromadorea; Rhabditida; Rhabditidae
Source: Rfam
GAGCACUCCCUAGAGAGUUAAGGUCAUUUUAAGACGACAGCUCAAAACUCACGCCUUUUUGCGUUGAAAUAGAAUUGUUUUCGAGGCCUUUUUUCGAAGCAUUAAGCGGAGCCAUUUUAUGGCACCGUGACUCUCCUCGAACACAGUGUCAAGCGGGGAGUUUGACUGGGGCGGUACAUCUAUCAAAUCGUAACGUAGGUGUCCUAAGGCGAGCUCAUAGAGGACGGAAACCUCUCGUACAGCAAAAGGGCAAAAGCUUGCUUGAUCUUGACUUUCAGUACGAGUACAGACCGCGAAAGCGUGGCCUAUCGAUCCUUUUAAUCCUGAUUGUUUCCGGUAAGAGGUGUCAGAAAAGUUACCACAGGGAUAACUGGCUUGUGGCAUCCAAGCGUCCAUAGCGACGUUGCUUUUAGAUCCUUCGAUGUCAGCUCAUCCUAUCAUAGCGAAGCAGAAUUCUGCCAAGCGUUGGCAUUGUUUCCCUCACUAAUUAGUGAACGUGUAGCUGGGGUUUACAGCCGUCGUGAGACAGGUUAGUUUUAC